RNAcentral lists this ribosomal RNA (429 nucleotides) under Gemmatimonadota bacterium. Its description in RNAcentral is "Gemmatimonadetes bacterium partial 16S ribosomal RNA". It matches the Rfam family "Bacterial small subunit ribosomal RNA", at positions 355 to 776 of the family's 1533-position model. The record is from RNAcentral. Lineage: Bacteria; Pseudomonadati; Gemmatimonadota.
UAGGGAAUCUUCGGCAAUGGACGAAAGUCUUACCGAGCAACGCCGCGUGAGUGAAGAAGGUUUUCGGAUCGUAAAACUCUUUUGUUAGAGAAGAACAAGGACGUUAGUAACUGAACGUCCCCUGACGGUAUCUAACCAGAAAGCCACGGCUAACUACGUGCCAGCAGCCGCGGUAAUACGUAGGUGGCAAGCGUUGUCCGGAUUUAUUGGGCGUAAAGCGAGCGCAGGCGGUUUCUUAAGUCUGAUGUGAAAGCCCCCGGCUCAACCGGGGAGGGUCAUUGGAAACUGGGAGACUUGAGUGCAGAAGAGGAGAGUGGAAUUCCAUGUGUAGCGGUGAAAUGCGUAGAUAUAUGGAGGAACACCAGUGGCGAAGGCGGCUCUCUGGUCUGUAACUGACGCUGAGGCUCGAAAGCGUGGGGAGCAAACAGG